GAAAUGCGAUAAGUAAUGUGAAUUGCAGAAUUCAGUGAAUCAUCGAAUCUUUGAACGCAUCUUGCGCUCCUUGGUAUUCCGAGGAGCAUGCCUGUUUGAGUGUCAUUCAAGUUCUCAAACCAUGUUGAUUGUUUUUCGAUGUGGUUUGGAUGUGGGGGUGUGCAGGCCUUUUUGAAGGGUCAGCUCCUCUGAAAUGCAUUAGUGGUAUCCAAGCAGAUAAACUACCACAGGUGUGAUAAAAUGUAUCUAUGCCUUGGUGAGCUGCAUGAAUGGAUUGCACUGCUUAUAACAAGUGGUUGACCAUGCCACGCUUUGAUGAAUUUGACCUCAAAUCAGGUAGGACUACCCGCUGAACUUAA
RNAcentral lists this unclassified non-coding RNA (359 nucleotides) under uncultured Inocybe. Its description in RNAcentral is "sequence contains ITS1". The stretch from base 1 to 105 matches the Rfam family "5.8S ribosomal RNA", at positions 50 to 154 of the family's 154-position model. The record is from RNAcentral. Lineage: Eukaryota; Fungi; Basidiomycota; Agaricomycetes; Agaricales; Cortinariaceae.